This 679-nucleotide ribosomal RNA is filed under the name uncultured bacterium. Its description in RNAcentral is "bacterial SSU rRNA". It matches the Rfam family "Bacterial small subunit ribosomal RNA", at positions 1 to 679 of the family's 1533-position model. The record is from RNAcentral.
AAUUCGAUUGAGUUUGAUCAUGGCUCAGGACGAACGCUGGCGGCGUGCUUAACACAUGCAAGUGGAGCGACGAACCGGGGCUUGCCCCGGGGCAGAGCCGCGAACGGGUGAGUAACACGUGGGUUACCUACCCCAAUGACUGGGACAACCCGAGGAAACUCGGGCUAAUACCGGAUGUGGUCUACGGACCAAAGGAAGCUUCGGCCUCCGCAUUGGGAUGGGCCCGCGGCGCAUCAGCUAGUUGGUGGGGUAACGGCCUACCAAGGCGACGAUGCGUAGCUGGUCUGAGAGGACGAUCAGCCACACUGGGACUGAGACACGGCCCAGACUCCUACGGGAGGCAGCAGUGGGGAAUCUUGCGCAAUGCGCGAAAGCGUGACGCAGCAACGCCGCGUGGGGGAAGAAGGCCUUCGGGUUGUAAACCUCUUUCAGUUGGGACGAAGGCCUCGCGGUUAAUAGCCGUGGGGGUUGACGGUACCUUCAGAAGAAGCCCCGGCUAACUACGUGCCAGCAGCCGCGGUAAUACGUAGGGGGCAAGCGUUGUCCGGAAUCAUUNNNCGUAAAGAGCGUGUAGGCGGCCCGAUAAGUCCGCUGUGAAAGUCCAGGGCUCAACCCUGGAAUGCCGGUGGAUACUGUCGCGCUCGAGUUCGGAAGAGGUGAGUGGAAUUCCUGGUGUAGC